This 398-nucleotide ribosomal RNA is filed under the name uncultured bacterium. RNAcentral describes it as "bacterial SSU rRNA". It matches the Rfam family "Bacterial small subunit ribosomal RNA", at positions 30 to 429 of the family's 1533-position model. The record is from RNAcentral.
AUUGAACGCUGGCGGCAUGCCUUACACAUGCAAGUCGAACGGCAGCACGGGAGCAAUCCUGGUGGCGAGUGGCGAACGGGUGAGUAAUAUAUCGGAACGUGCCCAGUCGUGGGGAUAACGUAGCGAAAGCUACGCUAAUACCGCAUACGAUCUAUGGAUGAAAGCGGGGGAUCGCAAGACCUCGCGCGAUUGGAGCGGCCGAUAUCAGAUUAGGUAGUUGGUGAGGUAAAGGCUCGCCAAGCCGACGAUCUGUAGCUGGUCUGAGAGGACGACCAGCCACACUGGGACUGAGACACGGCCCAGACUCCUACGGAGGCAGCAGUGGGGAAUUUUUGGGACAAUGGGCGCAAGCCUGAUCCAGCAAUGCCGCGUGCAGGAUGAAGGCCUUCGGUUGUAAC